RNAcentral lists this ribosomal RNA (450 nucleotides) under uncultured bacterium. Its description in RNAcentral is "partial 16S ribosomal RNA". It matches the Rfam family "Bacterial small subunit ribosomal RNA", at positions 354 to 796 of the family's 1533-position model. The record is from RNAcentral.
GUGGGGAAUAUUGGACAAUGGGCGAAAGCCUGAUCCAGCCAUGCCGCGUGUGUGAAGAAGGUCUUCGGAUUGUAAAGCACUUUAAGUUGGGAGGAAGGGCAGUAAGUUAAUACCUUGCUGUUUUGACGUUACCAACAGAAUAAGCACCGGCUAACUUCGUGCCAGCAGCCGCGGUAAUACGAAGGGUGCAAGCGUUAAUCGGAAUUACAGGGCGUAAAGCGCGCGUAGGUGGUUCAGCAAGUUGAAGGUGAAAUCCCCGGGCUCAACCUGGGAACUGCCUCCAAAACUACUGAGCUAGAGUACGGUAGAGGGUAGUGGAAUUUCCUGUGUAGCGGUGAAAUGCGUAGAUAUAGGAAGGAACACCAGUGGCGAAGGCGACUACCUGGACUGAUACUGACACUGAGGUGCGAAAGCGUGGGGAGCAAACAGGAUUAGAUACCCGGGUAGUCC